This 253-nucleotide ribosomal RNA is filed under the name uncultured bacterium. RNAcentral's name for it is "partial 16S ribosomal RNA". It matches the Rfam family "Archaeal small subunit ribosomal RNA", at positions 474 to 727 of the family's 1478-position model. The record is from RNAcentral.
UACCAGCACCCCGAGUGGUCGGGACGAUUAUUGGGCCUAAAGCAUCCGUAGCCGGUUCUACAAGUCUUCCGUUAAAUCCACCUGCUUAACAGAUGGUCUGCGGAAGAUACUAUAGAGCUAGGAGGCGGGAGAGGCAAGCGGUACUCGAUGGGUAGGGGUAAAAUCCGUUGAUCCAUUGAAGACCACCAGUGGCGAAGGCGGCUUGCCAGAACGCGCUCGACGGUGAGGGAUGAAAGCUGGGGGAGCAAACCGG